RNAcentral lists this ribosomal RNA (326 nucleotides) under Echinolittorina placida. RNAcentral's name for it is "partial 12S ribosomal RNA". Lineage: Eukaryota; Metazoa; Mollusca; Gastropoda; Littorinimorpha; Littorinidae. The record is from RNAcentral.
UUAGACAUAAAUAGUAUUUACCGGAGUACUACGAAUAAACAUUUAAAACUCAAAGAGCUUGGCGGUGCUUUAGACUUCUCAGGGGAACCUGUCUCGUAAUCGACAGUCCACGAAUCAACCUCACCUUUAUCAGUAUGUAUACCGUCGUCGUCAGGUAACUUUUAAAAAUAAAGAAGUUAGCAAGUUUUCACGUCAGAUCAAGGUGCAGCUUAUAGAAAGGAGAAGAUGGGUUACAAUUAAAAUUCAUAAUUACGGAUGUUAAUCUUUGAAGGCGGACUUGAAAGUAUGAAUUAGUAGUUAAAUGUUCUGAAUUCAGCUCUGAAGCG